AGAGUUUGAUCAUGGCUCAGAUUGAACGCUGGCGGCAGGCCUAACACAUGCAAGUCGAGCGGUAGCACAGAGAGCUUGCUCUCGGGUGACGAGCGGCGGACGGGUGAGUAAUGUCUGGGAAACUGCCUGAUGGAGGGGGAUAACUACUGGAAACGGUAGCUAAUACCGCAUAACGUCGCAAGACCAAAGUGGGGGACCUUCGGGCCUCAUGCCAUCAGAUGUGCCCAGAUGGGAUUAGCUAGUAGGUGGGGUAACGGCUCACCUAGGCGACGAUCCCUAGCUGGUCUGAGAGGAUGACCAGCCACACUGGAACUGAGACACGGUCCAGACUCCUACGGGAGGCAGCAGUGGGGAAUAUUGCACAAUGGGCGCAAGCCUGAUGCAGCCAUGCCGCGUGUGUGAAGAAGGCCUUCGGGUUGUAAAGCACUUUCAGCGGGGAGGAAGGCGAUAAGGUUAAUAACCUUGUCGAUUGACGUUACCUGCAGAAGAAGCACCGGCUAACUCCGUGCCAGCAGCCGCGGUAAUACGGAGGGUGCAAGCGUUAAUCGGAAUUACUGGGCGUAAAGCGCACGCAGGCGGUCUGUCAAGUCGGAUGUGAAAUCCCCGGGCUCAACCUGGGAACUGCAUUCGAAACUGGCAGGCUAGAGUCUUGUAGAGGGGGGUAGAAUUCCAGGUGUAGCGGUGAAAUGCGUAGAGAUCUGGAGGAAUACCGGUGGCGAAGGCGGCCCCCUGGACAAAGACUGACGCUCAGGUGCGAAAGCGUGGGGAGCAAACAGGAUUAGAUACCCUGGUAGUCCACGCCGUAAACGAUGUCGAUUUGGAGGUUGUGCCCUUGAGGCGUGGCUUCCGGAGCUAACGCGUUAAAUCGACCGCCUGGGGAGUACGGCCGCAAGGUUAAAACUCAAAUGAAUUGACGGGGGCCCGCACAAGCGGUGGAGCAUGUGGUUUAAUUCGAUGCAACGCGAAGAACCUUACCUGGUCUUGACAUCCACAGAACUUAGCAGAGAUGCUUUGGUGCCUUCGGGAACUGUGAGACAGGUGCUGCAUGGCUGUCGUCAGCUCGUGUUGUGAAAUGUUGGGUUAAGUCCCGCAACGAGCGCAACCCUUAUCCUUUGUUGCCAGCGGUUCGGCCGGGAACUCAAAGGAGACUGCCAGUGAUAAACUGGAGGAAGGUGGGGAUGACGUCAAGUCAUCAUGGCCCUUACGACCAGGGCUACACACGUGCUACAAUGGCAUAUACAAAGAGAAGCGACCUCGCGAGAGCAAGCGGACCUCAUAAAGUAUGUCGUAGUCCGGAUUGGAGUCUGCAACUCGACUCCAUGAAGUCGGAAUCGCUAGUAAUCGUAGAUCAGAAUGCUACGGUGAAUACGUUCCCGGGCCUUGUACACACCGCCCGUCACACCAUGGGAGUGGGUUGCAAAAGAAGUAGGUAGCUUAACCUUCGGGAGGGCGCUUACCACUUUGUGAUUCAUGACUGGGGUGAAGUCGUAACAAGGUAACCGUAGGGGAACCUGCGGUUGGAUCACCU
This 1528-nucleotide ribosomal RNA is filed under the name Klebsiella pneumoniae. RNAcentral describes it as "bacterial SSU rRNA". It matches the Rfam family "Bacterial small subunit ribosomal RNA". The record is from RNAcentral. Lineage: Bacteria; Pseudomonadati; Pseudomonadota; Gammaproteobacteria; Enterobacterales; Enterobacteriaceae.